Molecule: ribosomal RNA, 429 nt
Filed under: Chloroflexota bacterium
Lineage: Bacteria; Bacillati; Chloroflexota
Description: Chloroflexi bacterium partial 16S ribosomal RNA
Rfam family: Bacterial small subunit ribosomal RNA
Source: RNAcentral
UGGGGAAUAUUGCACAAUGGGCGCAAGCCUGAUGCAGCCAUGCCGCGUGUAUGAAGAAGGCCUUCGGGUUGUAAAGUACUUUCAGUCGGGAGGAAGGUGUCAAGGUUAAUAACCUUGGCAAUUGACGUUACCGACAGAAGAAGCACCGGCUAACUCCGUGCCAGCAGCCGCGGUAAUACGGAGGGUGCAAGCGUUAAUCGGAAUUACUGGGCGUAAAGCGCACGCAGGCGGUCUGUCAAGUCGGAUGUGAAAUCCCCGGGCUCAACCUGGGAACUGCAUUCGAAACUGGCAGGCUAGAGUCUUGUAGAGGGGGGUAGAAGUCCAGGUGUAGCGGUGAAAUGCGUAGAGAUCUGGGGGAAUACCGGUGGCGAAGGCGGCCCCCUGGACGAAGACUGACGCUCAGGUGCGAAAGCGUGGGGAGCAAACAGG